GAUGAACGCUGGCGGCGUGCCUAAUACAUGCAAGUCGAGCGAACAGACGAGGAGCUUGCUCCUCUGACGUUAGCGGCGGACGGGUGAGUAACACGUGGAUAACCUACCUAUAAGACUGGGAUAACUUCGGGAAACCGGAGCUAAUACCGGAUAAUAUAUUGAACCGCAUGGUUCAAUAGUGAAAGACGGUUUUGCUGUCACUUAUAGAUGGAUCCGCGCCGCAUUAGCUAGUUGGUAAGGUAACGGCUUACCAAGGCGACGAUGCGUAGCCGACCUGAGAGGGUGAUCGGCCACACUGUAACUGAGACACGGUCCAGACUCCUACGGGAGGCAGCAGUAGGGAAUCUUCCGCAAUGGGCGAAAGCCUGACGGAGCAACGCCGCGUGAGUGAUGAAGGUCUUCGGAUCGUAAAACUCUGUUAUUAGGGAAGAACAAAUGUGUAAGUAACGAUGCACGUCUUGACGGUACCUAAUCAGAAAGCCACGGCUAACUACGUG
This 497-nucleotide ribosomal RNA is filed under the name uncultured bacterium. Its description in RNAcentral is "partial 16S ribosomal RNA". It matches the Rfam family "Bacterial small subunit ribosomal RNA", at positions 28 to 507 of the family's 1533-position model. The record is from RNAcentral.